UCACGACACAUCUUCCAACAUCGCGGACGUCAAUCCCCGGUAGGGGGCAGUUCGCCAUGGGUAUCGCGACCAAUCUCGCACCAUCAGAUCCUGCCAUAGGCUUGCUUGCGGUGAGAAAAUUAUUGAAGUAGAAAGACAUGCGGAUUAUCGUCCAGUCCAUUGUGGAUGGUAAACUUCGUUGCAUGUAUUCUUCGAUUCUCCCCUUUGCAUCAAAAUGAGCUGCAAGAAUGGAAAUUUUUAUUCCUAUUUUAAGUUCGAAACAUUUCUCACAUGUGUAUUUUAGAAUUUUGUAUUCAAAUUAAUGUUAUGUUGUUAAUUUGAAAAUUGGAACCAAUCAUUAAGAUCUAAACCGAAACUGAUCUAGUUAGACUUUGAGACAUCUUCAUUACAUGCUCCUAUUGUGAAUCAGUUUACAUUCCCAGCACUAAUAGAACUUUAUCCAGUCUUUGGACCGAGUUAAUUCAAUCCUUGUCCAAUUAGGUAAAGUUUUUACUAAGCCUUUAUACCUAUCUAAUGGUUUAUCAUAAAGAUCUCAAAAACGGCCCAAGGCAGAAGGCCGACGGACGUUUUUGAGACCGAGACAAAAUAUGUUUCUAUCCGGACCGACCUAAACAGUAAAUAACGUAUUUAUUUUUUUGUCGAAGACUCAGAGGCAAAUGGCAACGGUUUUAUUAGAUUGCGCCUAUAGAAAACAAAACAAUAAAAAAAUUUGAUAUUUAAUUAUUUUACUUUAGUAAACAAACAAUCAAUUAAAAUUGCUUCGGCCAUUACGUAUAGGAUUCCGGACCGUGGUCAAAUAUCGUAAAAUUCCGCCCGCUGCUGCAGCCAAUCAGAUUGCAGAAAACGCUAGGAUUCCGCCCGCUGCUGAUUUACAAAAAAAUAACAAAACGUUAUUCAAUUCUAGAACUCAGUGAUGAAAA
Paramuricea clavata is the source of this 920-nucleotide non-coding RNA. The record is from the annotation of a GenBank genome assembly. Lineage: Eukaryota; Metazoa; Cnidaria; Anthozoa; Malacalcyonacea; Plexauridae.